CCCUCCCCUAAAUCACUCCAAAAAAAACAAUCCCCAAUUCUACACAAGUGUUUCUACACUAACAAAGCAACAGCUCCUUAACGAAUUCCCAACUUUACACGAGCUCGUCUCCCGAGGUUAAAUGUUAUUACUUGGUAAGAUUCCGGACCUCGCCAAGUGUUUUGAAAACCCGCAACGCUCGCAAAGGUGCAUAGUGAGAAUAAUAAGUGAAGAGACAGACUUGUCCAAAACGCCCACCGCGAAGGUGCAUAGUGAGAAGAGUAAGUCAAGAGAUAGACUUGUUCAAAAAGAAACAGAAGAGAAUGCUUGGGGUUACACUCACGAAGGUGCAUAGUGAGAAGAGUAAGUCAAGAGACAGACUUGUUCAAAAAGAAACAAAAGAGAAUGCUUGGGGUUACACUCACGAAGGUGCAUAGUGAGAAGAGUAAGUCAAGAGACAGACUUGUUCAAAAAGAAACAAAAGAGAAUGCUUGGGGAGAUAGAAGUGUGAGAUAGUUCUCAAGCUAAGAAAGUUGUAAAAGCUAAGAACUAGCAAGUAAUCGUCCAGGAUUCCUCCACCAGGACUUGAAAUCGUCGAGGGAAAAAAAUCGGUUCCGAGGAAUCGUCGAUCCGGACUUGGAAUCGUCGAGAAAAGUUUACCGGGUCCGAGGAUUUGUCGACCAGGAGUGGAAAUCGUCGAGAAAAAUCUAUCGGGUCCGAGGAAUCGUCGACCAGGACGAGGAAUCGUCGACAGGGUCCGAGGAUUUGUCGAC
This 752-nucleotide unclassified non-coding RNA is filed under the name Arabidopsis thaliana (thale cress). Its description in RNAcentral is "3' external transcribed spacer". Lineage: Eukaryota; Viridiplantae; Streptophyta; Magnoliopsida; Brassicales; Brassicaceae. The record is from RNAcentral.